CCUACGGGUGGCUGCAGUGGGGAAUCUUGCGCAAUGGGCGAAAGCGUGACGCAGCAACACCGCGUGAGGGAAGACGGCCUUAGGGUUGUAAACCUCUUUCAGAUGGGACGAAGGUGAUGCGGUGAAUAGCCGAUGUCAUUGACGGUACCGUCAGAAGAAGCUCCGGCUAACUACGUGCCAGCAGCCGCGGUAAUACGUAGGGAGCGAGCGUUGUCCGGAAUCAUUGGGCGUAAAGAGCAUGUAGGUGGAUCAAUUAGUCUGCUGUGAAAGUCAAAGGCUCAACCUUUGAAAGCCGGUGGAUACUGUUGGUCUAGAGUACGGAAGAGGCGAGUGGAAUUCCUGGUGUAGCGGUGGAAUGCGCAGAUAUCAGGAGGAACACCAAUAGCGAAGGCAGCUCGCUGGGACGUUACUGACACUGAGAUGCGAAAGCGUGGGGAGCAAACAGGCUUAGAUACCCUUGUAGUC
RNAcentral lists this ribosomal RNA (465 nucleotides) under uncultured Solirubrobacterales bacterium. RNAcentral's name for it is "bacterial SSU rRNA". It matches the Rfam family "Bacterial small subunit ribosomal RNA", at positions 338 to 795 of the family's 1533-position model. Lineage: Bacteria; Bacillati; Actinomycetota; Thermoleophilia; Solirubrobacterales. The record is from RNAcentral.